RNAcentral lists this unclassified non-coding RNA (421 nucleotides) under Hevea brasiliensis (rubber tree). Lineage: Eukaryota; Viridiplantae; Streptophyta; Magnoliopsida; Malpighiales; Euphorbiaceae. The record is from RNAcentral.
AUGAUUUGUAGGCUGCAAUGCCUUGUGUGAGCAUAUCACUGAAAAUUGGAAAGCUAUAGAGGCAUGGUUGAUAAUGGUAGUAAAGAAGCAACAUAAAAUGUGGUGAAAUUAAUUUAAGCAGUAAAUUUGUAUAAACAAUUCUGUCAAUGGAGCUGUCGCUAUGCUGCCAUUGGUCAAGAAGGUGACGUUUAUGCCCAUGUGAUAUAAGUUGGUGACUUUUACUUAGCAAUAUUUGAGCUGAAGUCUAGUGACAUGCGGCAUUAAAUAGAACAUUGCUACAACCACUCUAAGAAAUGGAUACUCAAUGACUCAGCACCAAUCCAACCCAGUUGGUGUCACGCUAAGAAAUAGACAUACAGUUAAAAUUCAGAAUGGACCUAAUACUAGUAAGUAUUACCUUAAGUUGAUUGGUCGACAAAAA